Molecule: ribosomal RNA, 253 nt
Filed under: uncultured bacterium
Lineage: Bacteria
Description: partial 16S ribosomal RNA
Rfam family: Bacterial small subunit ribosomal RNA
Source: RNAcentral
UACGUAGGGAGCAAGCGUUGUCCGGAAUCAUUGGGCGUAAAGCGCGCGUAGGUGGCUUCGUAGGUCCGUUGUGAAAGUCAAAGGCUCAACCUUUGAAAGCCGAUGGAUACUGUGAAGCUAGAGUACGGAAGAGGCGAGUGGAAUUCCUGGUGUAGCGGUGGAAUGCGCAGAUAUCAGGAAGAACACCUAUGGCGAAGGCAGCACUCUGGGACGGUACUGACGCUGAGACGCGAAAGCGUGGGGAGCGAACAGG